Solanum tuberosum (potato) is the source of this 88-nucleotide non-coding RNA. Lineage: Eukaryota; Viridiplantae; Streptophyta; Magnoliopsida; Solanales; Solanaceae. The record is from RefSeq and is marked provisional.
AGGGAAGCAGGUCAUUCUUUAUGAAACGGAGGGAGUAUUAUAAAAUAAUACUCCCUCCGUUUAAAAAAGAAUGACCUGGUUUGACUUG